GGGAGCUCUGCUCCCUGAUGUUAGCGGCGGACGGGUGAGUAACACGUGGGUAACCUGCCUGUAAGACUGGGAUAACUCCGGGAAACCGGGGCUAAUACCGGAUGGUUGUUUGAACCGCAUGGUUCAAACAUAAAAGGUGGCUUCGGCUACCACUUACAGAUGGACCCGCGGCGCAUUAGCUAGUUGGUGAGGUAACGGCUCACCAAGGCGACGAUGCGUAGCCGACCUGAGAGGGUGAUCGGCCACACUGGGACUGAGACACGGCCCAGACUCCUACGGGAGGCAGCAGUAGGGAAUCUUCCGCAAUGGACGAAAGUCUGACGGAGCAACGCCGCGUGAGUGAUGAAGGUUUUCGGAUCGUAAAGCUCUGUUGUUAGGGAAGAACAAGUACCGUUCGAAUAGGGCGGUACCUUGACGGUACCUAACCAGAAAGCCACGGCUAACUACGUGCCAGCAGCCGCGGUAAUACGUAGGUGGCAAGCGUUGUCCGGAAUUAUUGGGCGUAAAGGGCUCGCAGGCGGUUUCUUAAGUCUGAUGUGAAAGCCCCCGGCUCAACCGGGGAGGGUCAUUGGAAACUGGGGAACUUGAGUGCAGAAGAGGAGAGUGGAAUUCCACGUGUAGCGGUGAAAUGCGUAGAGAUGUGGAGGAACACCAGUGGCGAAGGCGACUCUCUGGUCUGUAACUGACGCUGAGGAGCGAAAGCGUGGGGAGCGAACAGGAUUAGAUACCCUGGUAGUCCACGCCGUAAACGAUGAGUGCUAAGUG
Molecule: ribosomal RNA, 765 nt
Filed under: Bacillus sp. (in: firmicutes)
Lineage: Bacteria; Bacillati; Bacillota; Bacilli; Caryophanales; Bacillaceae
Description: bacterial SSU rRNA
Rfam family: Bacterial small subunit ribosomal RNA
Source: RNAcentral